This 253-nucleotide ribosomal RNA is filed under the name uncultured bacterium. RNAcentral describes it as "partial 16S ribosomal RNA". It matches the Rfam family "Bacterial small subunit ribosomal RNA", at positions 524 to 776 of the family's 1533-position model. The record is from RNAcentral.
UACGGGGGGGGCAAGCGUUACUCGGAAUUAUUGGGCGUAAAGGGCGCGUAGGCGGUCGUGUGCGUCGGAGGUGAAAUCCCCAGGCUUAACCUGGGAACUGCCUCCGAUACGGCAUGGCUUGAGUCCGGGAGAGGGGAGCAGAAUUCCCAGUGUAGCGGUGAAAUGCGUAGAUAUUGGGAGGAAUACCAGUGGCGAAGGCGGCUCCCUGGACCGGUACUGACGCUGAGGAGCGAAAGCGUGGGGAGCGAACAGG